UGUUCUUCGGAAUGAGAGACCGGCGCACGGGUGCGUAACGCGUAUGCAAUCUACCUUUUACAGAGGGAUAGCCCAGAGAAAUUUGGAUUAAUACCUCAUAGUAUAGUGAUACCGCAUGGUACUACUAUUAAAGUCACGACGGUAAAAGAUGAGCAUGCGUCCCAUUAGCUAGUUGGUAAGGUAACGGCUUACCAAGGCAACGAUGGGUAGGGGUCCUGAGAGGGAGAUCCCCCACACUGGUACUGAGACACGGACCAGACUCCUACGGGAGGCAGCAGUGAGGAAUAUUGGUCAAUGGGCGCAAGCCUGAACCAGCCAUGCCGCGUGCAGGAUGACGGUCCUAUGGAUUGUAAACUGCUUUUGCACAGGAAGAAACAACGCUACGUGUAGCGUCUUGACGGUACUGUGAGAAUAAGGAUCGGCUAACUCUGUGCCAGCAGCCGCGGUAAUACGGAGGAUCCAAGCGUUAUCCGGAAUCAUUGGGUUUAAAGGGUCCGUAGGCGGUUUAGUAAGUCAGUGGUGAAAGCCCAUCGCUCAACGGUGGAACGGCCAUUGAUACUGCUAGACUUGAAUUAUUAGGAAGUAACUAGAAUAUGUAGUGUAGCGGUGAAAUGCUUAGAGAUUACAUGGAAUACCAAUUGCGAAGGCAGGUUACUACUAAUGGAUUGACGCUGAUGGACGAAAGCGUGNGUAGCGAACAGGAUUAGAUACCCUGGUAGUCCACGCCGUANACGAUGGAUACUAGCUGUUGGGAGCGAUCUCAGUGGCUAAGCGAAAGUGAUAAGUAUCCCACCUGGGGAGUACGUUCGCAAGAAUGAAC
Molecule: ribosomal RNA, 820 nt
Filed under: uncultured bacterium
Lineage: Bacteria
Description: bacterial SSU rRNA
Rfam family: Bacterial small subunit ribosomal RNA
Source: RNAcentral